AUCGCUUCUCGGCCUUUUGGCUAAGAUCAAGUGUAGGAUAUUUCUACCUUAACUUGGGAUGUGGGAAAGCAUCCUAAGAUCAGAACAGUGAGGGUUUUUUAAUACUGUUUUUAAAAUUGUAGUAAAAUCUAUGUAAUGUGGAAUUGAUCAUUUCAAGCAUUUUUAAGUGUGUGAUUCAGUGGCAUGAAGUACAUUCACUUCCUUGUGCGCCCAUC
Oryctolagus cuniculus (rabbit) is the source of this 215-nucleotide small nuclear RNA. Its record names the gene U2. It matches the Rfam family "U2 spliceosomal RNA". From Rfam's summary of the family: U2 is a small nuclear RNA (snRNA) component of the spliceosome (involved in pre-mRNA splicing). NCBI's taxonomy places the organism in Eukaryota, Metazoa, Chordata, Mammalia, Lagomorpha, Leporidae. The record is from Ensembl.